This 199-nucleotide long non-coding RNA is filed under the name Elaeis guineensis (African oil palm). RNAcentral describes it as "long non-coding RNA (EGUI_LNC018564)". The record is from RNAcentral. Lineage: Eukaryota; Viridiplantae; Streptophyta; Magnoliopsida; Arecales; Arecaceae.
GAGGGGAAGAAAAGGAUGAGAGGACAUUACUACUUGAUGGAGAGCUCAGUGUGAGGUGGAGCUUCAAGAGUCAGGAGGAGCUUAGGAUGAGAUGGAGCUCCAGGUAGAGGUGGAUCGGAUACUAAACGGGAGACUCGGGAGGACGAGAGGCGACGUUGCAAAGUGAAGUUCCUAUUAUCGUAGGAGAUUUCUCCGAGCA